This 406-nucleotide ribosomal RNA is filed under the name uncultured bacterium. RNAcentral describes it as "partial 16S ribosomal RNA". It matches the Rfam family "Bacterial small subunit ribosomal RNA", at positions 30 to 526 of the family's 1533-position model. The record is from RNAcentral.
AUUGAACGCUGGCGGCAGGCCUAACACAUGCAAGUCGAACGAGUGGCGGACGGGUGAGUAAUGUCUGGGCAACUGGCCGAUGGAGGGGGAUAACUACUGGAAACGGUAGCUAAUACCGCAUACCAUCGGAUGUGCCCAGAGGGGAUUAGCUAGUAGGUGGGGUAACGGCUCACCUAGGCGACGAUCCCUAGCUGGUCUGAGAGGAUGACCAGCCACACUGGAACUGAGACACGGUCCAGACUCCUACGUGAGGCAGCAGUGGGGAAUAUUGCCCAAUGGGCGAAAGCCUUAUGCAGCCAUGCCGCGUGUAUGAAGAAGGCGUUCGGGUUGUAAAGUACUUUCAGCGGGGAGGCGUUACUCACAGAAGAAGCACCGGCUAACUCCGUGCCAGCAGCCGCGGUAAUUC